UACGUAGGGGGCAAGCGUUAUCCGGAUUCACUGGGUGUAAAGGGAGCGUAGACGGCAUAUCAAGCCAGAUGUGAAAAUCCGCGGCUCAACCGCGGACCUGCAUUUGGAACUGAUGAGCUGGAGUACUGGAGGGGCAGGCGGAAUUCCUGGUGUAGCGGUGAAAUGCGUAGAUAUCAGGAGGAACACCGGUGGCGAAGGCGGCCUGCUGGACGGAUACUGACGUUGAGGCUCGAAAGCGUGGGGAGCAAAC
Molecule: ribosomal RNA, 250 nt
Filed under: uncultured prokaryote
Description: partial 16S ribosomal RNA
Rfam family: Bacterial small subunit ribosomal RNA
Source: RNAcentral